RNAcentral lists this ribosomal RNA (923 nucleotides) under uncultured Pseudomonadota bacterium. RNAcentral's name for it is "bacterial SSU rRNA". It matches the Rfam family "Bacterial small subunit ribosomal RNA", at positions 58 to 1056 of the family's 1533-position model. Lineage: Bacteria; Pseudomonadati; Pseudomonadota. The record is from RNAcentral.
CAAGUUGAAUGUUUAAAUUUUUAAACAUAGCGAACGGGUGAGUAACGCGUGAAUUAUCUACCUUUUAAUUCAGGAUAAUUAUUUUUAAUAAAAAUACUGAAUAAUUUCAAUAAAGUUUUAAUAACGUUAAAAGAUGAGUUUGCGUAAGAUUAGGUAGUUGGUAGUUUAAAAGACUACCAAGCCGACUAUCUUUAGCUGGUUUGAAAGAAUGAUCAGCCACAUUGGGACUGAGACACGGCCCAAACUUUUUUAAAGGCAGCAGUGGGGAAUUUUGGACAAUGAGCGCAAGCUUGAUCCAGCAAUACCAAGUGAGUGAUGAAGGCUAAUUAGGUUGUAAAGCUCUUUCAUUAAGGAGGAAAAUGACAGUACUUAAAAAAGAAGUUCCGGCUAAUACCCGUGCCAGCAGCCGCGGUAAUACGGGAGGAGCGAGCAUUAUUCGGAAUGAUUAGGCGUAAAGGGUUUGUAGGUGGUUUUUUAAGUUGAAAAAAACAAAUUAAAGCUCAACUUUAUAAAUCUUUUCAAAACUGAAAAACUUGAGUAUAAAUAGAGGAUAAUGGAAUUUCUAUUGGAGGGAUAAAAUAUGUUGAUAAUAGAAGGAAGAUCAAAAGCGAAGGCAAUUAUCUGGGUAUAUACUGACACUGAGAAACGAAAGCUUGGGUAGCGAACGGGAUUAGAGACCCCGGUAGUCCAUGCUGUAAACGAUGAGUGCUCAUAUUUAGAAUUUUUAGAUAUCAAGCUAACGCGUUAAGCACUCCGCCUGAAAAGUAUAAUCGCAAGAUUGAAAUUCAAAGGAAUUGACGGGAGUCUACACAAGCGGUGGAGCAUGUGGUUUAAUUCGAUAAUACGCGCAGAACCUUACCAACUCUUGCAAAUUAGAUUAAGAAAUUUAAUUUAAUCUAAACAGGCGUUGCAUGGCUGUCGUC